ACAUUCUGGGCCACUUGAAGGUGAAUAUUUUCAUCAGAUCUCUCCCCAUCCUGUAAUUUAUAAUCAGUGGAGCUAGUAUGCAGUGCUUUAAGACCAUAAAACAGAAAAUUCUCAUGGAAGGAAAAAUUCAUAAUGUUUGCCAGAUGAUAAUCCAGAAGGUCUACAUGCUCAGAAUGUUGAUUGUUGACCCAUUACCUUCUUCAACAACACAAGAUGGAAGAAGAUAAUAAAAUUAUCUGAAUAAGAGGGUAGAUUUGCAGAAAGGGAUGAAAGAAAGAUUCUACAAAGGAACUUCCCACUCUACUCUGCACUGGUGUGGCUUCACUUCAAGUACUGCGUGCAGUUUGGACACUGGAAUAUCAGAAGAGCUAAAACUACUGGAGAGCAUCCCAAGGACCUGAGGGAACAGCAUGGAGGUGUGUCAGAUGAUAAAGAUUUUUUUUCAUGAAGAUGUCCAACUGUGUACCUGCCAUGCAUGAAGGAAACAAAAUGACAUGGACAAAUGAAAUAGGACCAGGAGACUGAGUGCAAGCAGGUGGCGAGACUGCUGGGUGCUGGAAUUCAUACAAUUGGAAUAGUGUCCCCAACUGAGAGCCUUAGCUUCAUCUGGCAUACCAAGAAAUGCAACCUCCCCCCACCUUCUGCUUGACCACAGAGUGUUCAGUGUGGAGCAGGUUCAGCCUUCGGUCUCCCUGUCAGAUCUAUAAUGUUUCCCAGUGAUGGGCAGGAUUGAGUUAAGUGACAUCAGAGUAUCCGAAAGCCCUCUCUGAAGUUAGUGGGACCACUCAUCUGGACAUAGUUAGUCAUAUGUAUCAGUGUCUGAAGGACAAGUAUGAGGGGUGCUGGGCAAAGCUUGCCAUUUCACAUUAAAACAGUUGUGGAAAAGUGUAUCAGAUCACAAUAUAUUGUAUUUAUUUUAUGUGAACAGAUUAAGGACAUAAUAAUCUGCAGUCAAAUAAGAAUAGAGAAUAAUAUAGUGUUCAUGUCAGAGAGAAAAACAAACACGUGCUGGUGCUGUAGAAAUGCACCGGAUGUUGCUGUAUUUCAGUUCUGCACAGAAAUCUAAAUAACAACUGAGUGCACAUAGAAUACAUAAAUAAAUCAGCUUUCAUUCUUCAUGCAGUUUCCCAUUUUGCACACACAAAUCUCCAUUUUUAGGAAAAUGGAAAAUUAUAAAGAAAACAUAUUUCUUAAUUGCACUUAAGAUAAAAGUUAUUACAGUCGCUUGAAUGUACUUGAAUGAGGCAGAAUGUGUUUGGAAAGAAGUAAAAUGAUAUAAAAAUAGCAUAUUCCUUUUUCAACAUACGAGAUAUUUGUAAUAUAUUAAAGGAAAA
Molecule: long non-coding RNA, 1334 nt
Filed under: Gallus gallus (chicken)
Lineage: Eukaryota; Metazoa; Chordata; Aves; Galliformes; Phasianidae
Description: lncRNA (ENSGALG00010004206.1)
Source: RNAcentral